GAUGAACGCUGGCGGCGUGCCUAAUACAUGCAAGUCGAGCGAACAGACGAGGAGCUUGCUCUUCUGAUGUUAGCGGCGGACGGGUGAGUAACACGUGGAUAACCUACCUAUAAGACUGGGAUAACUUCGGGAAACCGGAGCUAAUACCGGAUAACAUGUUGAAACGCAUGGUUCAACAGUGAAAGACGGUCUUGCUGUCACUUAUAGAUGGAUCCGCGCCGCUUUAGCUAGUUGGUAAGUUAACGGCUUACCAAGGCAACGAUGCGUAGCCGACCUGAGAGGUGGAUCGGCCACACGGGAACGGGAACACGGUCCAGACUCCUACGGGAGGCAGCAGUAGGGAAGCUGCCGCAAUGGGCGAAAACCUUACGGAGCAACGCCGCGUGAGUGAAGAAGUUCUUCGGAUCGUAAAACUCUUUUAUUGGGGAAGAACAAAUUUGGAAGUAACUAUUCACGUCUUGACGGUACCUAAUCAGAAAGCCACGGCUAACUACGUG
Molecule: ribosomal RNA, 497 nt
Filed under: uncultured bacterium
Lineage: Bacteria
Description: partial 16S ribosomal RNA
Rfam family: Bacterial small subunit ribosomal RNA
Source: RNAcentral